GAUGAAGAACGUAGCGAAAUGCGAUAAGUAAUGUGAAUUGCAGAAUUCAGUGAAUCAUCGAAUCUUUGAACGCACAUUGCGCCCGCCAGUAUUCUGGCGGGCAUGCCUGUUCGAGCGUCAUUUCAACCAUCAAGCCCCCGGCUUGUGUUGGGGACCUGCGGCUGCCGCAGGCCCUGAAAAGCAGUGGCGGGCUCGCUGUCACACCGAGCGUAGUAGCAUACAUCUCGCUCUGGGCGUGCUGCGGGUUCCGGCCGUUAAACCACCUUCAUAACCCAAGGUUGACCUCGGAUCAGGUAGGAAGACCCGCUGAACUUAAGCAUAUCAAUAAGGGGAGGA
RNAcentral lists this unclassified non-coding RNA (336 nucleotides) under soil metagenome. RNAcentral's name for it is "partial contains 5.8S ribosomal RNA, internal transcribed spacer 2, and large subunit ribosomal RNA". The stretch from base 1 to 120 matches the Rfam family "5.8S ribosomal RNA", at positions 35 to 154 of the family's 154-position model. The record is from RNAcentral.